GUCGAACGGUGAUGACCAGCUUGCUGGUCGGAUCAGUGGCGAACGGGUGAGUAACACGUGAGUAACCUGCCCCAGACUCUGGGAUAAGCCUUGGAAACGAGGUCUAAUACUGGAUAUGAGAUGCCCCUGCAUGGGGAGUGUCUGGAAAGAUUUAUCGGUCUGGGAUGGACUCGCGGCCUAUCAGCUUGUUGGUGGGGUAAUGGCCUACCAAGGCGACGACGGGUAGCCGGCCUGAGAGGGCGACCGGCCACACUGGGACUGAGACACGGCCCAGACUCCUACGGGAGGCAGCAGUGGGGAAUAUUGCACAAUGGGCGCAAGCCUGAUGCAGCGACGCCGCGUGAGGGAUGAAGGCCUUCGGGUUGUAAACCUCUUUCAGCAGGGAAGAAGCGCAAGUGACGGUACCUGCAGAAGAAGCGCCGGCUAACUACGUGCCAGCAGCCGCGGUAAUACGUAGGGCGCAAGCGUUGUCCGGAAUUAUUGGGCGUAAAGAGCUCGUAGGCGGUUUGUCGCGUCUGGUGUGAAAACUCAAGGCUCAACCUUGAGCUUGCAUCGGGUACGGGCAGACUAGAGUGCGGUAGGGGUGACUGGAAUUCCUGGUGUAGCGGUGGAAUGCGCAGAUAUCAGGAGGAACACCGAUGGCGAAGGCAGGUCACUGGGCCGCAACUGACGCUGAGGAGCGAAAGCAUGGGGAGCGAACAGGAUUAGAUACCCUGGUAGUCCAUGCCGUAAACGUUGGGCACUAGGUGUGGGGCUCAUUCCACGAGUUCCGUGCCGCAGCAAACGC
Molecule: ribosomal RNA, 787 nt
Filed under: bacterium 7 OU-2010
Lineage: Bacteria
Description: bacterial SSU rRNA
Rfam family: Bacterial small subunit ribosomal RNA
Source: RNAcentral